CUGGCUCAGGAUGAACGCUAGCUACAGGCUUAACACAUGCAAGUCGAGGGGCAGCAUGAGAUUAGCUCGCUAAUCUUGAUGGCGACCGGCGCACGGGUGAGUAACGCGUAUCCAACCUUCCCCCUACUCAGGCAUAGCCCCGGUGAAAAACCGGAUUAACUCCUGAUAGUUUCACUAGAUGGCAUCUGACGGUGAAUAAAGCUCAGCGGUAAGGGAUGGGGAUGCGUCUGAUUAGCUUGUGGCGGGGUAACGGCCCACCAAGGCGACGAUCAGUAGGGGUUCUGAGAGGAAGGUCCCCCACAUUGGAACUGAGACACGGUCCAAACUCCUACGGGAGGCAGCAGUGAGGAAUAUUGGUCAAUGGGCGCGAGCCUGAACCAGCCAAGUAGCGUGCAGGGAAUGACGGCCCUAUGGGUUGUAAACUGCUUUUGUGCGGGAAUAAAGUCAGGGACGUGUCCCUGUUUGCAUGUACCGCAAGAAUAAGGACCGGCUAAUUCCGUGCCAGCAGCAGC
RNAcentral lists this ribosomal RNA (512 nucleotides) under uncultured bacterium. RNAcentral's name for it is "bacterial SSU rRNA". It matches the Rfam family "Bacterial small subunit ribosomal RNA", at positions 19 to 518 of the family's 1533-position model. The record is from RNAcentral.